Acanthochromis polyacanthus (spiny chromis) is the source of this 3850-nucleotide long non-coding RNA. RefSeq lists it as uncharacterized. Lineage: Eukaryota; Metazoa; Chordata; Actinopteri; Pomacentridae. The record is from RefSeq and is a predicted model, not a curated record. The transcript has 3 exons.
GCGAGCUAUCCACCGAAAUGCAAGCCUCCGCGGGAUCUGUGGCCGGACCGCGGCGAUUUUUACUUUAUGUGGUUAAGUAGUCAUACUAAUCACCCCACAGAUUUGAGAAACAGGCGUUUUCUGACCAACGUUGUAAAUUUGUCAGACGCCUCACAACGUGCUACUGAAUGCUAGCAGCUAGUUGCAGCAGCUCGCUUUGCAUACAGAACAAGUAGCAGCUACCUCCAGUAGCCUGCAGCUACAACUGAAACGAUUCGCAUAAUCUGGCUAAUAACUGCAUGAGGAGUGCCGGCUUGAAAUUGCCACAUUAAUUAUGCUACUGUUUGUUAGCGUAAAAUCGACCUGAAGCCAGCAUUCAGCCGAGAUAUUUGAUAGCCGUACUUCCGGUUUUUGUCGUCGGAGGUUUGAAAUGCAUUAUGGGAAACGUAGUAGUAUACUACAGUGUGAACGGUUGGCAUUCUAAUCAUACUUAUAGUACGUAGUAUACAGUAUAUACUCAUUGAGAAUGUAGUAUGUAGUACGUUAGUAUGCCAUUUCGGACACAGCCAGGGACUUCUCCCUGCCGCUGCAUGUGAAUCACGUCGUAACACUUGCGGUCUCGCGGUCUCCAAUGCGUGUGCCUGUCUUCCAGCCCCUUUAGCCCGGUUGCGAUGUGGCUUGGCAUUUCUUCGCUGCUCCCGGCAUCUUGCUCUCGGCGUCCUUGGCGCCUCUCCGCUGCUCUUCCCUUGGUGUCGGCCUCUCAACGUCUCAGCGUCCCUCUACUACUCCCAUUCAGCUGCUUUAUUCUCCCUGGCUUCAAUCACGCACAGCUGAGAGCGACUGCCGAUUGGGGAAAAACAUCAUGUGAUUUGGGGUGGUCAUGGCAACGGCAGAUCACACAGGCGAGACCACGGCCCGGAGGUUGGUCGGGCAGGCGGGGUUGCUCCAGAGGAUGGUCCGGAGGCUGGUCAGGCGGACGGGGCUGCUCAGGAUGACGGUCAGGCAGGUGGGACCAAGGGAUGAAGCCCUGCAAAAGGCCAGGUUGUGGCCUACAGCAGCGGAAGCAGAGCCCCUCGGGAGACUGGCGACAACGGAGAUGGAAUAGACCCUGUGCAUGAUAGCAUGUGCUCGUUCCGGUUGAAAAACUCCGGGUGCUACAGUUACUUCCAGUCCCGGUUACAGCGCUGUCAAAAUGGAAGAAGCCAGCAGUACACUUUACUUUUCCAGAUGCCUAGGCAACUUGCCUAAAAUUUCUGUUGACGAUGUUUAUCGUCUCGUUGAUGAUUUUUCGUCAGCUCCUCAAAGCAAACGGGAAAAGGGAUUCAGAUUUUUUAUAUCUCAGUACAUAUAUAACUUUGAAAGUAAGUGGCAUCGCAUCCUACAUAAUUAGCGCUAGCUUAACUGUAGGGCUUGCCAAACAUGUACCUUAUUAUUUUAUUUUCUAUUAUUUAUACAUUACUAUUUUUUGCUUACUUAGCUACUAGAAUCCACUUUACACUUUAGUGUUUGGUACUUAGUUGCGCUUCAGUUGCGCUUCAGUGUCCCGCCCGCGGUACACUUUGAGAUCUGCAUAAAGCAAUUUGCUAAAUGUCUGAAACUGCAAACGCGAUUAUACAAACACUAUACGCCGAUGGAAAGCUUAGAUUCUCAUGAAUCCGCCGGUAUAAACCACUUUCAGAUGUGAUUACUACAGCCGGUAAUAUAAACACAUUUGUCCGACAAACAACGAAUAUCCAUCCAUCCGUUCUCCAUACACGGCUUCAACGUACACAGCGCGACUCACAUUUCCGGGUUCAUUAUUACACACGGAUGAAAAUAUUCCACAAAAAAUGGCCAUAAUCCAACCUUGGACAUCCAGACAAAACAAGCCAGUAACAUAUUUUGUCCAAAACAUGUCUUGAAGUCGGUAUAUACUCCACGAAUAGGUCAUUUUCAAGGAAAUGCACCUCGCGACGCGCAUCCAAUAUUCCCUGUAUUUCUCGUCAUAUUUUUAUUUACAAAUAGAAUAUUUGCGAUUUUUUGUACUGAAAAUGGCUGGAAUUGACUGCAGCUUAAAGGGUUAGUCGAGUUCAGCAAAACAUUUUAUAUUUGUAGUUUUGUUUGAACAAAAUGACAAAUGCUUGGAUUUCCUCUAUAUUUGAUUAGGUGUCAAAACGGAAUAACAAAUGAUUGAAGAAUGCACGGAUUGUUGUUAUAGUUUAUCAGAUAUUUGCUGUUUGAUCAGUGACUAUGCACUAAUAUUCCCGAUCCUCAGCUCAGUGUGAAACAUUUUUUUUCGUCUAAUUUUGGCAAUCCACUGAGCCCGCAAAUGCCGGUCUUUUGGAAAACGGUGAAGGCUUAUAGAACCGUUAUAAACACCAGAAGCCGAACAUAAUGGUACACUACAGUACCUCCCAUAUCGACCUUGAACACGCCGAAAUCUGAUUUUAUGUUUUGCCGAGAAAACAAUGUUUUUCUUUUUUGAUUCCAUGUUAUCCAUGCUGCGAAAUAGCCUCCGGAAGGACCUGUAAGCCCUCCCGGUCAGAACCCGGAAGUUAGCAUUUUGACGUGCACAGGGGUCUAUUCCUCGGGAGGCUGGCUAUGAAGGAGGCGGAACCCCUAGGGAGGCCACCGACAAAGGAGACGUAACCACUCUGGAGGCUGGUGGUGGGCAAGACGAAGACCCAUAGGAGGCCGGCGUCGGACAAGAUGUGGACCAUUGGGCAAUUGAGCUGGAGGCCAGCAAAGGCAGGACCCCUCUGGUGACCAGACUGGGAACCAGCAGAGGCCCUCUGUUGCAGGGUUGGCCACUGUGUCACCGGAUUAUGGCCCAACCAAUUUAUCUAUAAUCGGCCGAUUAACUCUGCCGAUUAUAGUCCUUUUCGCAACAAUCAUCAUCGGCUAGAGGUGGCACAACGUGGACAAAGCAAGGUGUGAGACUACAACACUAAGGACAUUUCUGGUGAUGUUGUCUGUAAUAUUUGUGCAGCUUCAGUAAGACAAGCAUCAAGCCAACUAAAUCAAAUAACAUCACAGACCUGUGGCAACACCUCAAACCAAAACAUAAAGAUGCUUCUGAGAAGCACAAGAAAAGGCAGCACAAAUGUCAGAGCAUUCUUCCCAUGCUCAGACAAGUGUUUGAUCGAACCACAAAAUGGUUCCCAAAUGAUCCAUGAUCAAAAGAGAUGGACCAUACUGAAAAUGGAAAUGACUGCUACAGAUAUCCUGCCCUAUGUGGUUGUGGAAGAUGAAGGUUUUAAAAGACUACUGGCCAAGGCAGAACACCGUUAUACUCCUAAAAGCGAAAAGUACUUGUGCACUCAGCUGAUGCACGACAUGUACUUAGAAGUUGCAAGAGAGUAAAGGAACUUCUCUCUGUGGAAAAUGCAGGAACAGCAUUGCCUUCACCACAGACUGUUGGUCUGGAUCAACUGAGGCUCUCAUGAGCUUGACUGCACAUUUCAUCGUCAAAAACUGGAAAGACUCCAAAUUGUGCUGAAUGUAAAGGCCAUGUUUGGGUCUCACAUAGGGCAAUAUUUCCUGACCUUACUGAAAAAAUUAGACAUUGUAUGCUCAGCACAUUCACCUGGUGCUGAGGGACAUCGAUGCAUUAUGAUCAAAGGAAUGAAACUUGCAGAGAUGUCUGCCUGUGCUGUACUGCACCUACUCUCAGCUAACGAUCGAUGAUGGCCUCACCUCCCAGAGGAUGGUGGGUGACAUACUGGGGGGACAACUGCCCAAAAUGAAGAGUCCAACUGCAGAGAAGUGGGACAUGGCAGCCAACCUGGUGAAGACACUGACACCACUGGAAGAAAUAACAUGCGAGAAUGAGUAAAGAAUUCCUCUACCUCCUGCAUCAUCCCAUGUGUAGCAUGCUCAAGGCAUCUGCUUG